Molecule: ribosomal RNA, 366 nt
Filed under: uncultured bacterium
Lineage: Bacteria
Description: bacterial SSU rRNA
Rfam family: Bacterial small subunit ribosomal RNA
Source: RNAcentral
AGGGGGGCAACUCCCUGAGUACAGCGGCGCACGGGUGAGUAACACGUAGGUAACCUACCCUCGAGCCUGGGAUAACCUACCGAAAGGUGGGCUAAUACCGGAUGUGACCACGGGAGUUUCGGCUCCUGAGGUAAAAGAUGGCCUCUGCUUGCAAGCUAUCACUCGUGGAGGGGCCUGCGCGCCAUUAGCUAGUUGGCGGGGUAAUGGCCCACCAAGGCUCUGAUGGCUAGCUGGUCUGAGAGGAUGACCAGCCACACUGGGACUGAAACACGGCCCAGACUCCUACGGGAGGCAGCAGUGGGGGAUAUUGCGCAAUGGGCGAAAGCCUGACGCAGCGACGCCGCGUGGGUGAUGAAGGCCUUCGGG